This is a non-coding RNA of Chlorocebus sabaeus (green monkey), 46 nucleotides long. NCBI's taxonomy places the organism in Eukaryota, Metazoa, Chordata, Mammalia, Primates, Cercopithecidae. The record is from Rfam.
ACAACGGCUCUUUUCAGAGCCACUUACUAUUUCUGCGGGAGAGCUG